GAUGAACGCUGACAGAAUGCUUAACACAUGCAAGUCUACUUGAAUUUGGGUUUUUUAACUUAGAUUUGGGUGGCGGACGGGUGAGUAACGCGUAAAGAACUUGCCUCACAGUUAGGGACAACAUUUGGAAACGAAUGCUAAUACCUGAUAUUAUGAAUAUAUGGCAUCAUAUAAUUAUGAAAGCUAUAAGCGCUGUGAGAGAGCUUUGCGUCCCAUUAGCUAGUUGGAGAGGUAACGGCUCACCAAGGCGAUGAUGGGUAGCCGGCCUGAGAGGGUGAACGGCCACAAGGGGACUGAGACACGGCCCUUACUCCUACGGGAGGCAGCAGUGGGGAAUAUUGGACAAUGGACCAAGAGUCUGAUCCAGCAAUUCUGUGUGCACGAUGAUGUUUUUCGGAAUGUAAAGUGCUUUCAGUUGGGAAGAAAAAAAUGACGGUACCAACAGAAGAAGUGACGGCUAAAUACGUG
This 468-nucleotide ribosomal RNA is filed under the name uncultured bacterium. RNAcentral describes it as "partial 16S ribosomal RNA". It matches the Rfam family "Bacterial small subunit ribosomal RNA", at positions 28 to 507 of the family's 1533-position model. The record is from RNAcentral.